GGAGGGAAUCUUCGGCAAUGGACGAAAGUCUGACCGAGCAACGCCGCGUGAGUGAAGAAGGUUUUCGGAUCGUAAAACUCUGUUGGUAGAGAAGAACGUUGGUGAGAGUGGAAAGCUCAUCAAGUGACGGUAACUACCCAGAAAGGGACGGCUAACUACGUGCCAC
Molecule: ribosomal RNA, 166 nt
Filed under: uncultured bacterium
Lineage: Bacteria
Description: partial 16S rRNA
Rfam family: Bacterial small subunit ribosomal RNA
Source: RNAcentral